RNAcentral lists this ribosomal RNA (210 nucleotides) under Triticum aestivum (bread wheat). RNAcentral describes it as "partial small subunit ribosomal RNA". Lineage: Eukaryota; Viridiplantae; Streptophyta; Magnoliopsida; Poales; Poaceae. The record is from RNAcentral.
AUGACAUUGGCAGAAGAUGUGAACCUUGAAGAGUUUGUGAUGACCAAAGAUGAGUUUUCUGGUGCUGAUAUCAAAGCCAUUUGUACUGAAGCUGGAUUGCUUGCCUUAAGAGAGCGCAGGAUGAAGGUGACACAUGCUGACUUCAAGAAGGCCAAAGAGAAGGUAAUGUUCAAGAAGAAGGAAGGUGUACCGGAGGGGAUGUACAUGUGA